Triticum aestivum (bread wheat) is the source of this 1550-nucleotide long non-coding RNA. RefSeq lists it as uncharacterized. Lineage: Eukaryota; Viridiplantae; Streptophyta; Magnoliopsida; Poales; Poaceae. The record is from RefSeq and is a predicted model, not a curated record. The transcript has 5 exons.
ACCCUCCCACUCUCUCGCUCACUCAGUCGCUCACUCGCUCGCUCGCUCGCUCAUGCCUCCCCCUCACUCUGCCGAAUCCCUAGCUCGUCGUCGCCGGUGAAGAGCAGCGCCUCCGCCUCUCAUCGCACACGUCGCCGGCGCCUCUACCCCACACGCUGCGCCUCCGCCUCUCUCUCUCGCGCCGUCGCCGCUUUUCCAUGUUGACGUACGCCGUCACCUCUCCCUCUUCAAGAUCUCAGUUUUACUCCACUCCGGCGGCUGGAUCCGAAGCGCGGCGGCUCGAUCCAGCAGCUGUGGUACGCCAGCCCCUCCUCUCCAACGCCAGCAGCUGCGGUGCCUAGCCGCAUCAGAGCAGGUUCAAGCAGCAGCAGUAGCUUCAAAUAAGGCGCCUCCCCGACGUGUGGCAACAGCAGUAGCUUCGCCUUGCUCUCUUCUUCUCCUCCUCACUUCAAGCAGUAGAUCAGCGAAGCAGAGCAGCCUUGUGUAGAUGCCUCAUCAACCUACUAGCUGCACCAACGAGAGGUGGGAGACGAGAUGUAGCAUCUCUGUACUGAUGCUCACAUUGCUCAAAAACUUUAGGCAUGUUUGCAAUUGGACAAAUGGUGUAUAACAAUGAUCAUCAUCUCUAAAUUGGACAAUCGGACAACAUCAGCAGGAGGACAGCAACAACAACAUUUUCUCAUGCAUUACAGUGCACCUGGCGAAAACUGAUAAGAAUUGGGAGCGGUGAGGACCAGGCGGGGGAGCAGCGAGGACCAGGCUGGGCAGUGCGGUUGAGAGGACCAGAUUGGUGCAACGAGGACCAAAUUGGGAGGAGCGGCGGCAGCGGCCAGGCUGGGGCGGCGGCGAUCAAAUUGGGAGCGGUGGCGACCAAACUGGGCAAGGACGACGGGGAAGAGACUGGCGAAGGAGGAGGAGGAGAUGGCCGGACUAGCAGCUGGAGGAGGUGGAGGGCGGAGGAGGAGGUGGCCGGCCUGGGCGCCUGGAGGAGGAAGACUACGAGGAGGAGCCUGGCGGAGGAAGACGACGACUUGUUUACAAAUCAGGGGUAUUUUUGUACUUUUGCUCGUUUUCACCUGGUCGGAAAAUACCCUCCAACGACAAAUAAAACGGUACAGAGGGAGUACAUGGUUAACUGCCUUACUGGGUAACUGUUCUAGGCUCCUGACAGGCUGGCGCUGGACGGCUGGACCUCCCGUCGGCUUGCUGGCGUGGGCGCCUUGCGGCGUGGCCUCCUCCUUCCGGCGGGCGGUGGCCCACUUCCCGUCUCCGACCUGCCGCAGCCGAGUCCGGGAGCGGCUGCUGUGGAAGAACGGCAAAACCCUAUUUGAGGCCUACAGCGACGCCAGUUUGGCCGGCCCAGUCAGCGAAUAUCGCUCACAGUUGUAGGCUUGUAGCGUUUUCUCGUUGGUUUUUUAUUCUGCUCAGAUCAGAUAUUUCGUUCACUUUUUCCUUUUCCCAUUUUAGUUUCUUAUUUACUAGCAAAAGGGCCUGUGCAAAACAGAAAAAAUUAUAAUCUUUAAUGGUCAUUAGCACAUUUUGUUGCAUCA